UUAAGCUAAGAAGAGCGUAGGGAGAAUGCCUUGGCAUUAGGAGCCGACGAAGGACGUGAUAAGCUGCGAUAAGCUGCGGGGAUCAGCAAGUAUGAAUUGAUCCGCAGAUUUCCGAAUGGAGCAAUCCGUAUGUGUAUGCACAUACAUCAUAUACUGAAUCAAAUAGGUAUAUGAGGGGAACCGCCUGAACUGAAACAUCUAAGUAGGGCGAGGAAGAGAAAUCAACCGAGAUUCUGUGAGUAGUGGCGAGCGAAAGCGGAAGAGGCUAAACCAUAGGUAGCAAUACUUAUGGGGUUUCGGACAGCAUUUAGUAUUGAUAAUUUCUAGUUGAAACGUGUGGGAAAACGUACCGAAGAGUGUGAGAGUCACGUAAGCGAAAGAGAGAAUCAGCGAGCUGUAUCCAAAGUACCGCGGGACACGUGAAACCCCGUGGGAAGAUGGGGGGACCAUCCUCCAAGCCUAAAUACUACCUAAUGACCGAUAGCGAAUAGUACUGUGAAGGAACGGUGAAAAGAACCCCGGGAGGGGAGUGAAAAAGAACCUGAAACCCUAUGCUUACAAGCACCGAGAGCACGUCAAAGUGUGAUCGGGUACCUUUUGUAGAAUGGUCCGGCGAGUUAUUGUAUGCGGCAAGGUUAAGUGCUUAAGGCACGGAGCCGAAGCGAGAGCAAGUCUGAACAGGGCGAAAAAGUCGUAUGCAAUAGACCCGAAACCGAGUGACCUAUCCAUGUCCAGGCUGAAGUGGAGGUAAAACUCCAUGGAGGGCCGAACACACGUCCGUUGAAAAGGCCGGUGAUGAGGUGUGGAUAGCGGAGAAAUUCCAAUCGAACUCGGAUAUAGCUGGUUCUCUCCGAAAUAGCUUUAGGGCUAGCCUCGUGAAAGAUUACUGGAGGUAAAGCACUGAAUGGGCUAGGGGUCGAAAGAUUACUGAACCCUAUCAAACUAAGAAUGCCAGAUAAUUGAUUCACGGGAGUCAGACAAUGUGAGAUAAGUCUCAUUGUCAAAAGGGAAACAGCCCAGACCCACAGCUAAGGUCCCUAAACAUUGUUAAGUGGAAAAGGAUGUGGGGUUGCAUAAACAACCAGGAUGUUGGCUUAGAAGCAGCCACUCAUUAAAAGAGUGCGUAAUAGCUCACUGGUCGAGUGACCCUGCGCCGAAAAUUCAACGGGGCUAAACAAUGUACCGAAGCUUGGGAUUCUAGAUUUAUCUAGAGUGGUAGGAGAGCGUCGAAUAAGGGGUGAAGUCAGAGCGGAAGCGCUGGUGGACUUUAUUCGAGUGAGAAUGCCGGAAUGAGUAGCGAGAAUUAUGUGAGAAUCAUAAUGGCCGAAAAUCUAAGGUUUCCUGAGGAAGGUUCGUCCGCUCAGGGUAAGCCGGGGGCUAAGGCGAGGCGGAGACGCGUAGCCGAUGCACAUACGGUUGAAAUUCCGUAGCCACCGAAAGAUUUAAGUACAGGGACGCUUUAGAAGUGAUGUAGCCGGGCGAUGGUUGACCCGGUCGUAAGGGAUCGAAAAUGAGUAGAGAAGUCAUCAUGGAAAGAGACAAGAAAAGCUGUAUGAAUAUCUUAGGUGCCCGUACCGCAAACCGACACAGGUAGAUAGGAAGAAGAUUCUAAGGCCAACGGGAGAAGGGUUGUUAAGGAACUCGGCAAGUUGACCCCGUAACUUAGGGAUAAGGGGUGCUCAAGUGAUUGAGCCGCAGAGAAUAGGCCCAGGCGACUGUUUAGCAAAAACACAGGUCUCUGCUAAAUCGAAAGAUGACGUAUAGGGGCUGACACCUGCCCGGUGCCGGAAGGUUAAGAGGAGAUGUGAGAGCAUUGAAUUGAAGCCCCGGUAAACGGCGGCCGUAACUAUAACGGUCCUAAGGUAGCGAAAUUCCUUGUCAGGU
RNAcentral lists this ribosomal RNA (1884 nucleotides) under human gut metagenome. RNAcentral's name for it is "bacterial LSU rRNA". It matches the Rfam family "Bacterial large subunit ribosomal RNA", at positions 3 to 1977 of the family's 2925-position model. The record is from RNAcentral.